RNAcentral lists this long non-coding RNA (466 nucleotides) under Anser brachyrhynchus (Pink-footed goose). RNAcentral describes it as "lncRNA (ENSABRG00000013754.1)". Lineage: Eukaryota; Metazoa; Chordata; Aves; Anseriformes; Anatidae. The record is from RNAcentral.
AUGAGAACUCCCCUGCAAGCAUUCUUCUACCCCCUUCCAGCAGUGGGCCUUGAGCAGCAUCCCAGGCCUACAGCCCAGACGGGAGCAGUGGCGGAUGCAGAAUUGCCAUCACUUUUCCUAGGCCAGUGCCUCAGGGCUCAGACCACCUGCACAGCACCUGCAGGCAAAUUAUCAGAGAACAGUGGACUGGACAAGGGAGCAAACAGAAAAGGCAACGAGGGCCCUGAGCUGCAGCCAGACAUGGUCAGACUGACCUUGAGAAAAGAACACAGAAGGGGAGAAAGAAUAAUGCAAUGGCUUCUACUCCUGGUCAAAGUGUCUUUAACCUUGUUGCCUGUGGAGGAAAAUGGACAGAAAAGCUACAUUUUAGCUCUGAUGGUUGAAGAUAAGAAACAUGCUCUGGGCUGCUAGCAGCUGUUUCUUUGGAAGAAGGUCACAAGCAUGAUAAGUGAAACAACAAGAAAUG